CGGCGGCGGUAGUGGUUCCUCCUCCGCUGUUUCAGUUUCCUCCGCCCCCUCCUCCCGUCGGACGCGGCUGUGUGCUCGCCUUAAACAAAAAAAAAAAAAAAAAAAAAAAAAAACGAAAAAAGAAAAAAGAAAAAAGAAAAAAAAAAGAUCAACUUUAUUGUUCCUCAGCCCCACCUCCCGGCGCGGCGCGCGGCCUCAGGAUGCACUGAGGUUGCGGGGAGGUGGAGGGGAGGGAGGCGGCGGCGGCGGGUCGCGGUCCCUCUCCGAGCGCCCGGCCGGAGGUGGGGGAGGCACGAUGUCUGGGAGCCGCCAGGCCGGGUCGGGCUCCGCCGGGACCAGCCCCGGCUCCUCGGCGGCCUCCUCGGUGACUUCCGCCUCCUCGUCCUUGUCCUCCUCCCCGUCGCCCCCUUCGGCGGCGGCGGCGGCGGCGGCGGCGGCGGCGUCCGGCGGGGCGGCCCAGGCCGCGGGGCCGGGCGGCCUCGGGGGCCCGGCGGCGCGGCCUGUGCUGGUGGCGGCCGCCGUGUCGGGCAGCGGCGGCGGGGCGGUGUCCGCGGGCCAGUCUCGGCUCAGCUGCGCGGCCAGGCCCAGCGCCGGCGUGGGAGGGAGCAGCUCCGGCCUCGGCAGCGGCAGCCGGAAGAGACCUCUGCUCGCCCCCCUGUGCAACGGGCUCAUCAACUCCUACGAGGACAAAAGCAACGACUUCGUGUGCCCUAUCUGCUUUGAUAUGAUUGAGGAAGCAUACAUGACGAAAUGUGGCCACAGCUUUUGCUACAAGUGUAUUCAUCAGAGUUUGGAGGAUAAUAAUAGAUGUCCCAAGUGUAACUAUGUUGUGGAUAAUAUUGACCAUCUGUAUCCUAAUUUCUUGGUGAAUGAGCUUAUUCUCAAACAGAAGCAAAGAUUUGAGGAAAAGAGGUUCAAAUUAGACCACUCAGUGAGUAGCACCAAUGGCCACAGGUGGCAAAUAUUACAGGAUUUGUUGGGAACUGACCAAGAUAACCUUGAUUUGGCCAAUGUCAACCUCAUGUUGGAAUUACUAGUGCAGAAGAAGAAACAACUGGAAGCAGAAUCACAUGCAGCCCAACUACAGAUCCUUAUGGAAUUCCUCAAGGUUGCAAGAAGAAAUAAGAGAGAGCAACUGGAACAGAUCCAGAAGGAGCUGAGUGUUUUGGAAGAGGAUAUUAAAAGAGUGGAAGAAAUGAGUGGCUUGUAUUCUCCUGUCAGUGAGGAUAGCACGGUGCCUCAAUUUGAAGCUCCUUCUCCAUCACACAGUAAUAUUAUUGAUUCCACAGAAUACAGCCAACCUCCUGGUUUCAGUGGCAGUUCUCAGACAAAGAAGCAGCCAUGGUAUAACAGCACAUUAGCAUCACGAAGAAAACGACUCACUGCUCAUUUUGAAGACUUAGAGCAAUGUUACUUUUCUACAAGGAUGUCUCGUAUUUCAGAUGAUAGUCGAACUGCAAGCCAGUUGGAUGAAUUUCAGGAAUGCUUGUCCAAGUUUACUCGGUAUAAUUCAGUACGACCUUUGGCUACAUUGUCAUAUGCUAGUGAUCUCUAUAAUGGUUCCAGCAUAGUCUCUAGUAUUGAAUUUGACCGAGAUUGUGACUAUUUUGCAAUUGCUGGGGUUACAAAGAAGAUUAAAGUCUAUGAAUAUGGCACAGUCAUUCAGGAUGCGGUGGAUAUUCAUUACCCUGAAAAUGAAAUGACCUGCAAUUCCAAAAUCAGCUGUAUCAGUUGGAGUAGUUACCAUAAGAAUCUGUUAGCCAGCAGUGAUUAUGAAGGCACUGUCAUCCUAUGGGAUGGAUUCACAGGACAGAGGUCAAAGGUCUAUCAGGAACACGAGAAAAGGUGUUGGAGUGUUGACUUUAACUUGAUGGAUCCUAAACUCUUGGCAUCAGGUUCUGAUGAUGCAAAAGUGAAGCUAUGGUCUACCAACCUAGACAACUCAGUGGCAAGCAUUGAGGCGAAGGCUAAUGUAUGCUGUGUUAAAUUCAGCCCUUCUUCUAGAUACCAUUUGGCUUUUGGCUGUGCAGAUCACUGUGUCCACUACUAUGAUCUUCGUAACACUAAACAGCCAAUCAUGGUAUUCAAGGGACACCGAAAAGCAGUCUCUUAUGCAAAGUUUGUGAGUGGUGAGGAAAUUGUCUCUGCCUCAACAGACAGCCAGCUAAAGCUAUGGAACGUAGGGAAACCAUACUGUCUACGUUCCUUCAAGGGUCACAUCAAUGAAAAAAACUUUGUAGGCCUCGCUUCCAACGGCGAUUAUAUAGCUUGUGGAAGUGAGAACAACUCUCUUUACUUAUACUAUAAAGGACUUUCUAAGACUUUGCUAACUUUUAAGUUUGAUACGGUCAAAAGUGUUCUGGAUAAAGACCGAAAAGAAGAUGAUACAAAUGAAUUUGUUAGUGCCGUGUGCUGGAGGGCAUUGCCAGAUGGGUUUGUGUUGUAGAGAACAGACUAGGUGUCAAGAACGGAAGCAGGAAGACUAUUACAAUAAUCCAGGAGUCCAAUGUGCUGAUUGCUGCUAACAGUCAGGGUACAAUUAAGGUGCUGGAGUUGGUAUGAAGGGUUUACUCAAGUUAAAUUGUAUUUGAUCCUGCUGAAAUACAUCUGCAGCUGACAAUGAGAGAAGAUAGAAACUCAUGUGAUGUCUCUCCCCAAAGUCACCAUGGGUUUUGGAUUUGUUUUGAGUAUUUUUUCUUUUCUUUUUCUUUUCUCCUUCACGACUUUUGGGACAUUGGGAAUACCCAGUGAACUCUCCACCAUCAAUGUAACUCUGUGGACUUUGCUGCUGUUGGUGGUGCAGUUAUCUAAUUUUUGUGAUAGGGAAACAAAUUCUUUUGAAUAAAAAUAAAUAACAAAAAAUAAAAGUUUAUUGAGCCACAGUUGAGCCGGGAAAAUCUUUGUGAAAGAUGGCAAGAGGGUAAUCUUUUCAAGAAGUAAUGCACAUAAACUCUGAAUAAUUUGUAAGGUCCAUAUUUUCCACCCUCUUUGGAAUUCUUCAUAUCAACAUAAAUGUAAAGUAUAUGGAUUUCUUCCAGUGAAUUUAAUAUUUAUAGUAGGUGGGAAGGUUAAUAACUUUACCUUAUGAAUUCCUUUCUUCAUUCUCUGACCAGAUUUAUAUCAUCAGCAAGUACCAUACUUCAUUCCAUCUGGACCUGGCGAAGAAUCUAAAAUUUUGACCAGUUGAGACCACAUUCAAACAGAAAGGGAAUGGGGCACCUGGCUGGCUUAGUCAGUAGAGCACAUAACUCUUGAUCUUAGGGUCACGAGUUCGAGCCCCACAUUGGGUGCAGAAAUGAUGUUAAUAAUUAAUUAACUUUAAAAAGGGGGGAAUGUCAGUCUGUGGCAGCUAUCGUCUUUGCCUUUUAAAAGUUAUCUAUACAUAAUGUAAGCCCUAAAUGCAGACAAACCACCUUCAUUUUGUAAAAUCAUAGCUAUCAGAUAGUCAUAGAUAUUAGUAGCAACCUCAGCUGAACAGUGUGAGCAGGGGUUAGCAGACUUGCCGGAAAGGAGGCCAGAUAGAAAAUAUUUUAGGCUUUGGAGAUCAUGUGGUCUCUUCCAUAAUUACACAACUCUGCCAGUGUAGCAGGAAAGCAUCCAUAGACCUAGCAGGAAAAGAAUUUGAAGCCUCAUUUCCCAAAUUACCAAGCCAUAUAAUAUCUUAGACUGUCUAGUCAAUUUUAUGUUAUUUUCAGUUUGUAAAAAGGGAGAAGUUCGUAGUUUGAGUAGCAGGUCAAUCAAAAGUAGUUUGAAGCUUUCUGUUUGAGCUACUUUAAAAGUGUGAACACUUUUUGAAAAAGAUAAAAACAGAAUUAUACCCCACGCAUAUUUUAUAAAAACAGACAUUUGGGAAAAGUUUGGUAUGAAAAAAUAUGUGAAUGGUAAGGGUAAUUGGAACAUCCCACUGUAUCCCUCUACACUCAAAAUUAUUAGGGUCACAUUUCAUCAUCUGAAACCUUUGGGUCAAAUGCAUUCUGGAAAUUAGAACUUCUUGAAUUUUAGAAAAGUAAUAGAGUACACAUACUAUAUAUAACAUAACACCGUUCAACAGAGUCUGGAGCGAUACUCUAUUAUCAAAUACAUUAAUAUCUCUGUAGCAAAAUGUAUGAAUGUUAACAUUAUAUGAGAUUAAUAAAGGUUAAAAAUAGUCUUGUACCAAUUCAGAUCGUUUUUACCACUGAAUAAGUUAGCCUCAAACUUAGGUGAAGUUUUCAGUUUCAGAGCUUUAAGACAGUUAUAUCUUACUAAUUUGGGGGAGUUAAACACCUGUAAACUUUUGGGCUCAAUUUUGAGAGCAAAGGUCACUAUCAUUCAAAAGUUACACCUGUCAACCAGAAUAGUGGUAAGCAUCCUUUAUUUCUAAUAUGAUGAAUGACCUUUUGCAAAGAUGAAGAAAGAAUAUUCAAAUGUAGAUUCUUCACUUAAAAGAAUUUAAGUGGAUAUGUCCAGAAAAAUCAUCAAAUGGGAAGCAAAGAAUUAAUGCCUCUUUGAAUGCAUUUAAAUAAAGGAUUCUUAAGAUUUUUAA
Molecule: RNA transcript, 4525 nt
Organism: Nyctereutes procyonoides (raccoon dog)
Lineage: Eukaryota; Metazoa; Chordata; Mammalia; Carnivora; Canidae
Gene: COP1
Gene name: COP1 E3 ubiquitin ligase
Exons: 21
Source: RefSeq, a predicted model, not a curated record